RNAcentral lists this non-coding RNA (92 nucleotides) under Nocardiopsis flavescens. RNAcentral describes it as "Glycine sequence". It matches the Rfam family "Glycine riboswitch aptamer". From Rfam's summary of the family: This family represents the bacterial glycine riboswitch. Glycine riboswitches usually consist of two metabolite-binding aptamers domains with similar structures in tandem. Lineage: Bacteria; Bacillati; Actinomycetota; Actinomycetes; Streptosporangiales; Nocardiopsidaceae. The record is from Rfam by way of RNAcentral.
CGAUACCGCGCGGGAGAGACCCCUGACCCAGGGGCGCCGACGGGGCAAUACUCCCCAGUAACCUCUCAGGCACCACGGACCGCACGGAGAAG